This 446-nucleotide ribosomal RNA is filed under the name uncultured bacterium. Its description in RNAcentral is "bacterial SSU rRNA". It matches the Rfam family "Bacterial small subunit ribosomal RNA", at positions 29 to 524 of the family's 1533-position model. The record is from RNAcentral.
AACGAACGCUGGCGGCAGGCUUAACACAUGCAAGUCGAACGCCCCGCAAGGGGAGUGGCAGACGGGUGAGUAACGCGUGGGAACGUGCCCUUCGCUUCGGAAUAGCCCCGGGAAACUGGGAGUAAUACCGAAUACGCCGUAUUGGGAAAGAUUUAUCGGCGAAGGAUCGGCCCGCGUUAGAUUAGCUAGUUGGCGGUGUAAUGGACCACCAAGGCUACGAUCUAUAGCUGGUCUGAGAGGAUGAUCAGCCACACUGGGACUGAGACACGGCCCAGACUCCUACGGGAGGCAGCAGUGGGGAAUAUUGGACAAUGGGCGAAAGCCUGAUCCAGCAAUGCCGCGUGAGUGAUGAAGGCCUUAGGGUGUAAAGCUCUUUUACCCGGGAUGAUAAUGACAGUACCGGGAGAAUAAGCCCCGGCUAACUCCGUGCCAGCAGCCGCGGUAAU